UGAGGAAUAUUGGUCAAUGGACGGAAGUCUGAACCAGCCAUGCCGCGUGAAGGAUGAAGGCGUUCUGCGUUGUAAACUUCUUUUAUCUGGGAAGAAACCACAGAUUUCUAUUUGUGUUGACGGUACCAGAUGAAUAAGCACCGGCUAACUACGUGCCAGCAGCCGCGGUAAUACGUAGGGUGCAAGCGUUAAUCGGAAUUACUGGGCGUAAAGCGUGCGCAGGCGGUUUUGUAAGACAGAGGUGAAAUCCCCGGGCUCAACCUGGGAACUGCCUUUGUGACUGCAAAGCUGGAGUGCGGCAGAGGGGGAUGGAAUUCCGCGUGUAGCAGUGAAAUGCGUAGAUAUGCGGAGGAACACCGAUGGCGAAGGCAAUCCCCUGGGCCUGCACUGACGCUCAUGCACGAAAGCGUGGGGAGCAAACA
RNAcentral lists this ribosomal RNA (422 nucleotides) under uncultured bacterium. RNAcentral's name for it is "bacterial SSU rRNA". It matches the Rfam family "Bacterial small subunit ribosomal RNA", at positions 355 to 774 of the family's 1533-position model. The record is from RNAcentral.